UACGUAGGGUGCAAGCGUUAAUCGGAAUUACUGGGCGUAAAGCGUGCGCAGGCGGCUUUGCAAGACAGAUGUGAAAUCCCCGGGCUCAACCUGGGAACUGCAUUUGUGACUGCAAGGCUAGAGUACGGUAGAGGGGAUGGAAUUCCGCGUGUAGCAGUGAAAUGCGUAGAUAUGCGGAGGAACACCGAUGGCGAAGGCAAUCCCCUGGACCUGUACUGACGCUCAUGCACGAAGCGUGGGGAGCAACAGG
This 250-nucleotide ribosomal RNA is filed under the name uncultured bacterium. Its description in RNAcentral is "partial 16S ribosomal RNA". It matches the Rfam family "Bacterial small subunit ribosomal RNA", at positions 524 to 775 of the family's 1533-position model. The record is from RNAcentral.